GACGAACGCUGGCGGCGUGCUUAACACAUGCAAGUCGAACGGAAAGGCCCUGCUUUUGUGGGGUGCUCGAGUGGCGAACGGGUGAGUAACACGUGAGUAACCUGCCCUUGACUUUGGGAUAACUUCAGGAAACUGGGGCUAAUACCGGAUAGGAGCUCCUGCUGCAUGGUGGGGGUUGGAAAGUUUCGGCGGUUGGGGAUGGACUCGCGGCUUAUCAGCUUGUUGGUGGGGUAGUGGCUUACCAAGGCUUUGACGGGUAGCCGGCCUGAGAGGGUGACCGGCCACAGUGGGUCUCAGAUACGGCCCAGUCCUCUAUGGUGGGCAUCGGUGGGGAACAGUGCUUAAUGGUCGGCACGCUGCUGCUGCACCUCCUCGUGCGGUAUUACGUCCUCCGGGCUGUGACCCGUAGCCGCCUUUGACGAAGCGCGAGUGACGGUAAUGGGUAAAUACGCCCCGGCUACCUACGUG
This 468-nucleotide ribosomal RNA is filed under the name uncultured bacterium. Its description in RNAcentral is "partial 16S ribosomal RNA". It matches the Rfam family "Bacterial small subunit ribosomal RNA", at positions 28 to 507 of the family's 1533-position model. The record is from RNAcentral.